Molecule: long non-coding RNA, 535 nt
Organism: Canis lupus familiaris (dog)
Lineage: Eukaryota; Metazoa; Chordata; Mammalia; Carnivora; Canidae
Exons: 3
Source: RefSeq, a predicted model, not a curated record
CCUAGGACCCAAGGAUCAUGACCUGAGCUGAAGGCAGACACUUCACCGAUGGAGCCACCCAGGAAUGUGUGUGGCUGCUGACCUAUGCUUCGCUCAAAAUUGUAUUCUGGGAAGACAGUCAGAAACUUGUCUCUCACAUGUCAGAUAAAGACAAAUUAUGUCCCAAGAGUUCUACUUAACAACUCAACAACUUGUCUGAACCUGAAUCUGAUCCUAGAGAUAGAUUUUGGACUUGGAUUAAAUUCUGUGAUGGAGAUGUCAAGAAACUGAAGCUGGCAAGAAACUGAGGCUGGCCUCUGGAAUACUACUGGUUAAGGAUUGAGACUCUUGGUCCUGUAACCCAUAAGAAACUAAAUCCUACCAACAGACAUGAGGUUAGAAACAUCCUUUACUGUUCGAGCCUUCAGAUGAGAACCCUGCCUGACCAAUACAUUGACAGUAGCCUUGUGGGAAAUCAUAUAGCAGCAGGUGCAGCUAAGCUAUCUUCAGAUUUUUGACACAUAGAAACUGAAAUAAUAAAUGUGCGUUGUUUUCA